Oreochromis aureus is the source of this 801-nucleotide long non-coding RNA. RefSeq lists it as uncharacterized. The record is from RefSeq and is a predicted model, not a curated record. The transcript has 3 exons. NCBI's taxonomy places the organism in Eukaryota, Metazoa, Chordata, Actinopteri, Cichliformes, Cichlidae.
GGGUGUUCCACAACUCCACAAUUUUGUCCUUGAACAAACUGAAUCAAACACAACUUUGCAAACCAAUAAAGAUUGGGACUGUGGAAAGUGUAUCUCAGCACAGCAUCGUGUUCAGCAGUUUGCUGGAAAUCAAUGGGCAAAUUGCUUCUUUGAAACCUCUGGACUGGCAUUAUUCCUGGAACAAACCUUAUUUACCUGAACUAACUCCUGGGAAGACUUAUUUCUUCAACGAUAAUAAUGUCUUCAUUGAUUUCAAUCAUGACUCUCUUCUUCAGUCGAUCCGUUUCAUUAUUUCCAAAUGUUAGUCCUGUCCUGGUUAAUCUGCUCCAGUGUGCAAUAUGAAAUUAGUUCCCAGAGAGUGACAAAAGCUUCAGUAGUAAAAUAUGUACUUUGUGCAGUCAAAGUCAUGCAAUAAGAUGGUGCACUAAAUAGUGUGUUGUCUGCGUUCUCAUAGUGAGUUCUCAUAAAAGCUCUUUACAGUUUUGUUCUCCAGAUUUUUUUUCUUUUCAAAUUUGUAUUAUGUAACAAAAAACAUAAAAACUGCAGUUGUUUGGGCAGAUGCGAUUUGUUGCUAAUUUGCUCUACUAUCAGCAAUAAAAGCUAAAUUUGCAGGUGCCCUAUGAUGUCUGCAUAUUUAUCUUUAACUGUGUUUAUAUUGUUUACUUCUCAAGUUUUACUCAAUAGCUAAUUUUUCCCUGAGGUCUUUGAACUGUUCUGUAUUACUAUAUAUUCAAAUGUAUACAAAAAUCAGUUAUCAUCAUCAUCAUAAAUGUAUUCAUAUUUUAUCCAGUGAAUAAAUUU